AACGAACGCUGGCGGCAUGCCUAACACAUGCAAGUCGAACGGGAUCCUAGCUUGCUAGGUGAGAGUGGCGGACGGGUGAGUAACACGUGGGAAUCUGCCUUUUGGUUCGGGAUAACCGCGGGAAACUGCGGCUAAUACCGAAUGCCCUCGAGAGAGGAAAGAUUUAUCGCCAGAAGAGGAGCCCGCGUCCGAUUAGGUAGUUGGUGGGGUAAAGGCCUACCAAGCCGACGAUCGGUAGCUGGUCUGAGAGGAUGAUCAGCCACACUGGGACUGAGAUACGGCCCAGACUCCUACGGGAGGCAGCAGUGGGGAAUAUUGGGACAAUGGGGGGCAACCCUGAUCCAGCAAUGCCGCGUGAGUGAUGAAGGCCUUAGGGUUGUAAAGCUCUUUUGCCAGGGAAGAUGAUGACUGUACCUGGAGAAUAAGCCCCGGCUAACUUCGUGCCAGCAGCCGCGGUAAU
Molecule: ribosomal RNA, 460 nt
Filed under: uncultured bacterium
Lineage: Bacteria
Description: bacterial SSU rRNA
Rfam family: Bacterial small subunit ribosomal RNA
Source: RNAcentral